RNAcentral lists this ribosomal RNA (497 nucleotides) under uncultured bacterium. RNAcentral describes it as "partial 16S ribosomal RNA". It matches the Rfam family "Bacterial small subunit ribosomal RNA", at positions 28 to 507 of the family's 1533-position model. The record is from RNAcentral.
GAUGAACGCUGGCGGCGUGCCUAAUACAUGCAAGUCGAGCGAACAGACGAGGAGCUUGCUCCUCUGACGUUAGCGGCGGACGGGUGAGUAACACGUGGAUAACCUACCUAUAAGACUGGGAUAACUUCGGGAAACCGGAGCUAAUACCGGAUAAUAUAUUAAACCGCAUGUUUAAAUAGUAAAAGACGGUUUUGCUGUCCCUUAUAGAUGGAUCCGCGCCGCAUUGGCUAGUGGGUAAGGUAACGGCUUACCAAGGCAACGAUGCGUAGCCGACCUGAGAGGGUGAGCGGCCACACGGGAACUGAGACACGGUCCAGACUCCUACGGGAGGCAGCAGUAGGGAAUCUUCCGCAAUGGGCGAAAGCUUGACGGAGCAACGCAGCGUGAGUGAUGAAGGUCUUCGGAUCGUAAAACUCUGUUAUUAGGGAAGAACAAAUGUGUAAGUAACUAUGCACGUCUUGACGGUACCUAAUCAGAAAGCCACGGCUAACUACGUG